AGGGUUCCGUUUCGAACAGACGUCGAGAGAAAAUCGGUUACCUGGUUCAGUUCUACUCAAAAUUUCUCGCUGACCGGACGUCCGGUCCAGAGGAUCGCGAUCGAAUCUUCUUACUGCUUAUCUCGCGAGUUUUCCUCGGUUUGGUCAUUGAAAAUCACGAAACAGUGCGUGACUGAGUGAUUUAUGGUUAUGUGGGUUCGUGGCUGGUGGUGUUUCUUUACUUGGACGACGUCCGAUACACACCGCGCGGAAUCAUCGAGAACAGUUCGACAUAGAAUUCUGGCAAGGAACCCUCUUCUGGUAGUUCUUGAAAUUUCCUUCAAUUACCGGCACACAGAGCGAGCUUGUAGCUGUUGUGAGCGUUUAACAAGGACCACGUGUGUAAGACAAUUCUCGACGGUUGUUACGGUCCGAGGAUCGUAGCACGAGCAACGACAAACAACAACAGGAUUCAGCUGCUGCUGUUUCUGCCCACGCAACGACCAACAAAUGUCAGAACUGUAAUCCGGAUGAAAUUAAAGCGCAGAAUUAGCUGUGCCAGUUCACAGAGAGCAACGUGAAAUCUUGAAGAUCUCUGUGAAGAAGAAGAAGAAGAAACAAAACGGUCGUCAAAAUGAACGAAUGUAGUUGCUUGAGAUAUCGCCAAAGGGUGAUUAAUGAACACGGAAGAAGUAGAAGAAGAAGAAGAAGAAGAAGAAGAAGAUGGUAGAAGAAGAAGUCGAGAAUUCGGCCGCUGUCAGCUGGAACACGAGAUCGUCCCGAGGAAUAUUCUUUUUAAUCCGCUCAUAAAUCCGCGCCGCGAAAUUCGCCUGGUGAACGAGCCGUGAGCGCGAUUAAAUAUUAACUACGUGGUCGAUUAUGUAAUUAAAAGGGUAUUCGUAGUAAUUGGGAGGACGGGGGCUUAACGAGCUUUCUAAAAUUUCCGAAGAUAAUUGCGCGUGCAGCCCGCGUGAUUAUCGGCGGUUCGCUAAUUACGGGCUAACGCGGAUCGUUUCUCUUUUCCAGCUAUUACGCUUCGAGUCGCCGCGGAAACUGGCAAACGCGCCCACGAGAUCCUGCAACUUCCUUAUCUUGCUUUUCGACUUUCCGUUCGAAACAGGAACUACCAUCCAGGAACUUUGCUACCCAACCACCGUUCCUAUCCUCAGCCUAUAACUUUGCGCCCCGUUUUCGCAUCGAUACGCACCAUCUACCCUUAGCACGCUUCGAAAUCGCUUCAGUAAUUGUUUCUAGGUGAAACGAUCGUUUCUCGAUCCA
Molecule: non-coding RNA, 1257 nt
Organism: Osmia lignaria (orchard mason bee)
Lineage: Eukaryota; Metazoa; Arthropoda; Insecta; Hymenoptera; Megachilidae
Source: RefSeq, a predicted model, not a curated record